This 814-nucleotide ribosomal RNA is filed under the name Paracalacarus podocarpi. RNAcentral's name for it is "partial 18S ribosomal RNA". It matches the Rfam family "Eukaryotic small subunit ribosomal RNA", at positions 360 to 937 of the family's 1831-position model. The record is from RNAcentral. Lineage: Eukaryota; Metazoa; Arthropoda; Arachnida; Trombidiformes; Eriophyidae.
ACCUUAAUCAGGGUUUGAAUUCGGAGGACCAGCCUGAGGAACGGCUAGUUAGAAUAAGGUUUGCAGCCGGCGCGAAAAUUUCACAAAGGUUGAUUACCAAUAAUUAGCGAUGUAGUGAAGAAAAAUAACGAUGUACUUGCUUUAAAACAAGCUAGUACAAUUGGAAUGAGACGACUAUAAAUGAGUUAGUCGAGUAACAAAUGGAGGGCAAGUCUGGUGCCAGCAGCCGCGGUAAUUCCAGCUCCAUUAGCAUACAUUAAAGUUGUUGCGGUUAAAAAGCUCGUAGUUGAAUUUUAGGCGGGCUCUAUUGGGAUGCAGCCGUAAAGGCGGUUUGGAGUGCAACUAACCCAUUCGUGGUCAAGUGCCCCUUUCUUAGCUGGUUGUCAUUGCCCUGUAGGAACCCGCUGUUUCGUCACUUAAUCGAGUGCGAAGCGGGCUGGAACAAAGUUUUAUCCACUUUCGGGUGCGAUGCUAUGUUACAGCGAGUUUACCUUGAGAAAAUUAGAGUGCUCACAGCAGGCAGUUGGGGUGUAAAAGCUCCUUUAUGCUUGAAUAAUGUUGCAUGGAAUAAUAGAAUACGGCCUCGGUUCUAUUCUGUUGGUCUUAUAGAACAACAAAUAAGUUGAUGUUAGGCAUCAAACGGUCAUGUUGGUGAUGUGGCUGGAUUGUUGGUUACUUGUUGCCUUAGUACCCCUAAGAGCCAUUAGUCUAGCGCCAGUCAUUAAAAGCAUCCAAUGGGAACUGGCCACCAACGCCACUUGAGGCAAGGGUAAAAAAAAAUAGCCCCGCCGCCUUCAUUCCGGCAUCUGGAAAG